UUUAAUAAGGAUAUUCUAGUAAAUGAUAUUGAUUUUUUCAUUAAAAUCAAUAUAUUUAAUGGUUUUUUUUAUAAUUGUACAUUGCUCAAAUAAAAUAUUUUUUAUAAGACUGAUGGAGUAAUUUGAUAGCUUAUAAGUAUUUCAUUUAUAUUAAUACAACAUUAGUAGGAUUAAUAUUAAUCACAUGCUAUUUUCUUUCUUUCCAACUUUAAGAAAAUUAAACACUAUUUUUU
RNAcentral lists this long non-coding RNA (233 nucleotides) under Lathyrus oleraceus (garden pea). RNAcentral's name for it is "Pisum sativum (pea) long non-coding RNA (PSAT_LNC016996)". Lineage: Eukaryota; Viridiplantae; Streptophyta; Magnoliopsida; Fabales; Fabaceae. The record is from RNAcentral.